CCUACGGGAGUCAGCAGUGGGGGAUAUUGCACAAUGGGGGAAACCCUGAUGCAGCGAUGCCGCGUGAAUGAAGACGGCCUUCGGGUUGUAAAGUUCUGUCGCAGGGGACGAAAAUGACGGUACCCUGCAAGAAAGCUCCGGCUAACUACGUGACAGCAGCCGCGGAAAUAAGUAGGGAGCAAGCGUUGUCCGGAAUUACUGGGUGUAAAGGGAGCGUAGGCGGGAGUAUAAGUUGAAUGUGAAAUCUAUGGGCGCAAACCAUAGCUGCGUUCAAAACUGUUCUUCGUGAGUGGAGUAGAGGCAGGCGGAAGUCCUAGGGUAGCGGGGAAAUGCGUAGAUAUUAGGAGGAACACCAGUGGCGAAGGCGGCCUGCUGGGCUUUUACUGACGCUGAGGCUCGAAAGCGUGGGUAGCAAACAGGAUUAGAUACCCUUGUAGUC
Molecule: ribosomal RNA, 439 nt
Filed under: uncultured bacterium
Lineage: Bacteria
Description: partial 16S ribosomal RNA
Rfam family: Bacterial small subunit ribosomal RNA
Source: RNAcentral